Long non-coding RNA from Physeter macrocephalus (sperm whale), 3451 nucleotides. RefSeq lists it as uncharacterized. The transcript is spliced from 4 exons. NCBI's taxonomy places the organism in Eukaryota, Metazoa, Chordata, Mammalia, Artiodactyla, Physeteridae. The record is from RefSeq and is a predicted model, not a curated record.
UGCAGAGAACAUUUUAUAGAGCACCCUUUCUCUUGAGUCUCCAUUUUCUGCAAUCAGGAUAAUGCAGUGCCUUUCAGAGCCAUUUUCAUUUUUGAAGUGCUCUUUCAUCAUUAGCUAAUAAAUACUCAUCAAUGAAUUUUCCUCAGCGUCUUGGAAGUUGGAGGAAAAAGAAAAUUGCUUUCUGUUUCUAGAGAUGCUGGUGUUUCACAUCCCGUUGGACUCAUCUCUCCAGGAUGGUAGCGCUCCAGGAAAAAUUCCCUACUGAAGGGGAACCAAGAGCCUGGAGGAUCCCUUCGAAAGAAACUGCAUCAUCAACUAAAGUAACAAAAAAGCUUGAAGACUUUCAUGGAUCCUAGGCCCUGGAUGGAGGCAGGCGGCUUCAGACAGCAUCAGACAGAGAAGCAAGAAAGCCGAGGGGCAGCUGGAAGGUGCCUGUGGCUGCCGAGCCCAGUUUUCCAGAGCUCUUGCCAUCACCUGGGAAGGAACCCCUGCCUUGUCUCCCACGGACACCACCAAGGCCAACUCGGAGCUGCCCAUUACAAGAGAGAAUGACUCUACUGCUUCUUCAUGUUGCUGUGAGGGUAGCCCUGAAAAUCAUGGAACGAGGCAUUAGAGAUUUGUCACUCACUCUUAUUCAGUGAUGAACCCAGAGUCCAUGGAAGUAAAGGCUUCUCACUCCCAGGCAUGGGGUCAAAGCCAUGGCCAGUUGGUAGUUUUCUUUCUCCACCCAUUAUUCAAUUUACCUUGUCUUUCUAAAAGUUAUGUAAGGAAAGAGAACAUGGCUCCUUUUUGGAACACUAGACCUAUGAGAUAGUAGUACAAGUUCCACAAAAUAACAGGGUAUUCUAAGGUCAAACAAGUUUGAGAAAUUCUGAGUAUGUCCCCAGUAGAGAUACAAAAUGUACAUGCACAUGUCUAAGGCUGCAAAAAAUUGAACUCAGCUUUCCCAAAGUUAUUUGACUCUAGAACUCUUUUAUUUAGUAAUAUUCAUUAGCAUCUUGAGUGCCUCUUUUUCUUCUUUAGUACAGUUUGGAAAAUGCUAUUUUCAGAGAAGCUUCAGUAAAUCUUCCUAGUAAAGGCUGAAGUCUAUGUCUUAGAUUGAAGAAAAGUUGAACAUAGCUUAGAUACAACCUUGUAAAUAGGGAAUACUUGUCUACCAUCCGCAAGAUUCUUUUCAACAGCCCAUUCUUUAUUAAAUUGGAGGUUUGCAAGGAGGGGAACUGAAAUAAGCAAUUGGCGUUCUAGUUCGUUCAUCCAGUAAAGCUCUAUUUUCAAGAUUAAUUCAGAGAAAAAGAUUUUCUACUUUUUCAUUCGACUGGAUAGAUCUCAUGGAAAAUCCCUUGUAAAUGUUGAAAUUGAUGCCCUUCCCUCCCCUCUGCCCUUUUGCCUUUCUUUGUAGAGAAUAAGUCUGGGUUUGAUUUAUAAGUAUUAUGGUUUGUAUUUGAUGGAACCCUCUGGAAACCUAUUCGCCAAGGGAAAGAGUAAUAACUAGUAGUUUUAGCUGUAAUCACAGAAAAAUCCUUUCCUCUCCUUCAGUCUUUCCAUCGCUCUGUGAUCAUAAGGCAUACCUUUAAUGAAACCUUUCUAAUGAGUGCUAAGGUUGUGUUCUCUUUCCAUAGGUUCUCCAAAGUAUGUUUUCUUCCUACUGACAAAAUAGUCAGGAAGAUAGUGGAAAUGGGAUCAACUCCAUUCUUCAUAUGCUUUAUUUUAUUCCUCUUCUCAGCGUUCAUUGAUGAACUUUCUUCUCCAGUCACUGGUUUCCCCUGCAUUGCUUCAGAAUUUAUUCAUUUCAUAGGAUGUCAUAUUACCUGUGGUGACACAAUGCUUUGCAACUGACCUCAAUCCAUUCAUAUAUGUAUUUUAUCUGCCAACUAGAACUUAAAGUUUAUUGGAGGUAGGUACAAUAUAUUUACAUCUUUCACAUUAUCUUCAGAGUCUCAUUCGUAUAUAGUGCUCUGUACAGAGUAGACAUUCAUUUAUUUGAAUUGAUUUAAGAAUAAUUUCCAUGGGUUGAAUGUGAGUGAGGAUUGCAGCUCCUCUUUGGGGCUUGAUAUCUCUGUGUCUAGAACAUAAAUGUUGGAGUCCACCUGACCUGAGUUCAAAUGCCAGGCCAAAGAAACAUUAAUGUGUGCUCUUGAUCAGGUUACUUCCCUGAGCUUCCAUUUCCUAUACAUAAUGGAGAUAGUAUAUAUACCUUUUUUAAAGCACGACUGAGGAUAGUAGUUAAUAGUUUAAGUUCUGGUGUCAGACAGAUCUGAGUUUGAAUCUCAUCUCUGCAUCUUACUUGCUACAUGAUCCUGAGCAAGUUAGUGAACCUCUCUGAGCCUCAUUUCCCUCCUCCUAGAACUGGGGUCCAUCAUAGUAUUUAUCUCAUGGAGUAGUUUGAGUUAAAUAAAAUAAUGCCUGUAAAACUUAGAAUGAUACCUCAUACCUAGUAAGAAUUCAGUUGAUGUCAACCAUUACUAUAGAAGAGCCCCUAGCAUACCUGGCACUGGUGGGCUCAAAUAAACUUUAGUUCCUUCUCCUGCUAAUUCUCAUCUUUAAAAUAGUUGCCACCAGCAGACACACUUUUUAGACCCGUUGGCUAAUGGGACUUCGGCAUAACUUUUGUGUACGAGUGGUUCUCUGACUCUUUUACCUGUCUUAAAUGGCACCAAAGUCUUCUGAAGAAAAGGCUUUUAUGCGGGGGAGGUCAUGAACAUCUGGAUUAAAAAGAGUUUACAUUCUUAAAGUGAGGUGGGUUGGAGAUAUUUUUUAUUAAACAUAGCCAUUUUGUGAUUUGAUUUCCCCAGGAUAUGAAUCAGAGAGAAAAAACUGAAGUUUUGUCCCAGAAAAAAAAGGGGAGGACAGGCAGAGGAUUUUUCACUGGUAAGGCAAUUUACACACUUGUCCUUUUCAUAGUGACUCAUGGUCUGUGAUACAUUUCAUAGCGAUGUCUAUGAGUUUCCAAAUCUGGAAGAAGACAUAUCAGCCAAAUAAGGGAGAGUGAAGAAAACAGACUUUUAAUCCACCUAGUUACCAUUCACAGAGCUUUAGAAGUAGAACUCCAAAAAAUGGCUCUUCCAGCACCCCACGUUUAGUCACAUCUUUAAACCCAUUGAGAGAGAGAAUUAGCUAAUCACUUCCAAAAUAUCUUCAGCAGACCAGCAGAGGAAUUCAAUCUCUAGCUCCAGUGUUCUAGAAAAAGUUCUUUCUUCCCAAUCUCUUCUCUUCCCCAACCCUCCCCCUUUCUUUUUUUUGGCUAUAAUUUGAGGCUAAGUCUUCACUCUUUUUUAGCUUUCAUAAUGUCUGACCUAAGUCCAUCUUAAAAUGAGUUUGUAAACUUUUAAAAAACUUAUUAAAGCUUACCCAUUAGUCUUUUUAUUUUACUAUUUAAGCAGUCUCAACUCAUUUAAAAAACUGUCUUAAGUCCAAUUUUUUCCCUACUUUAUAUAAUUUUGGGUUACUAUUC